GCAGCAGUGAGGAAUAUUGGUCAAUGGACGCAAGUCUGAACCAGCCACGUCGCGUGAAGGAAGACGGCCCCUAUGGGUUGUAAACUUCUUUUAUAAGAGAGUAAAAAGGCCUACGUGUAGGUCAUUGCAAGUAUCUUAUGAAUAAGGAUCGGCUAACUCCGUGCCAGCAGCCGCGGUAAUACGGAGGAUCCGAGCGUUAUCCGGAUUUAUUGGGUUUAAAGGGUGCACAGGCGGGGGAAUAAGUCGGUGGUGAAAACUUGCAGCUCAACUGUAAGCUUGCCAUCGAAACUGUUUUUCUUGAGUAUGGAUAAGGUAGGCGGAAUUUGUGGUGUAGCGGUGAAAUGCAUAGAUAUCACGAGGAACUCCGAUUGCGCAGGCAGCUUACUGGGCCAUAACUGACGCUCAAGCACGAAGGCGUGGGUAUCGAACAGGAUUAGAUACCCUGGUAGUCCACGCAGUAAACGAUGAUUACUCGCUGUUUGCGAUAUACGGUAAGCGGCCAAGCGAAAGCGUUAAGUAAUCCACCUGGGGAGUACGUUCGCAAGAAUGAAACUCAAAUGAAUUGACGG
Molecule: ribosomal RNA, 569 nt
Filed under: uncultured bacterium
Lineage: Bacteria
Description: bacterial SSU rRNA
Rfam family: Bacterial small subunit ribosomal RNA
Source: RNAcentral